UACGGAGGGUGCAAGCGUUGUUCGGAAUCACUGGGCGUAAAGGGCGCGUAGGCGGCUCAUGAAGUCUGUGGUGAAAGCCCCAGGCUCAACCUGGGAGGUGCACCCGAUACUGCAUGGCUCGAGUACUGGAGAGGUUGGUGGAAUUCUCGGUGUAGAGGUGAAAUUCGUAGAUAUCGAGAGGAACACCGAUGGCGAAGGCAGCCAACUGGACAGAUACUGACGCUGAGAAACGAAAGCGUGGGGAGCAAACAGG
RNAcentral lists this ribosomal RNA (253 nucleotides) under uncultured bacterium. Its description in RNAcentral is "partial 16S ribosomal RNA". It matches the Rfam family "Bacterial small subunit ribosomal RNA", at positions 524 to 776 of the family's 1533-position model. The record is from RNAcentral.